CCACGCUGUAUUCACUGCCUGGCUUUUUGCUUUUUUGCUUUUCUUUCUUGUGUUCCCUUAAGUUUGCUUUCAACUAAGAUUUUUGUCCCCUUUUUGAUCUUUAGAAAAAUUAAAGUGUGGGAUCUUAUGGCUGCUCUGGACCCGCGUGCUCCUGCAGGGACUCUUUGUCUACGGACGCUUGUGGAGCAUUCUGGAAGAGUUUUCCGACUCCAGUUUGAUGAAUUCCAGAUUGUCAGUAGUUCACAUGAUGACACAAUUCUCAUCUGGGACUUCCUAAAUGAUCCAGCCACUCAUGCUGAACCGCCCCGCUCCCCUUCUCGGACAUACACCUACAUCUCCAGAUAAAUAACGCGACACUGGCCUCAUAAUUGCCCAGGACUCGUUAACGUUGCAGUAUUUAACAUGCCUGCCAAGACCAGGAUGAACAACAACAAUCAAACUCCCACCCGGAUUCCUGGACGGACCAGCGAGGAGCAGGCCUUUGAGACUCCUGUUGGGACACAGCCGGUCAGCAGCCGACCAGGACGGUCUGCUCGGCACACCGGCUGCUUCAGUGCUGCUAUCAGAAGAUGUCUUUAUCUUGUGUGAAUGAUUGGAACUUUCAAGCCUCCCUCCCCUCUCCUUCCCCCUUCCUCUGCACCUGUUUCUCUCCCAUUGGGUUCCAGACAAAGAUGACUUAUAAAUAUAUUUAGUGUUUUGCCAGAAUCUCUCUUGCUUUGCCAUUAAGCAGAAGAACUAGUUUCCCCAUCUGGCCCACGUCUAGGGGACGGGGCUGCAGCUUCCAGGCAGAGACUGCCUGACCUCCUCCUGUUAACUGCAGGAGUGUCCAGCAUCUGGCCAGAGCAUUCCAGGCCACUGCGUGGGAGGAGACAGCUGCCUACACAUCUUGGAGGGGAGAGAGAGGAACAUACACACUGGAAGAUCUGCACCUGCUGCCUCCCUCCAUUGUCCGGGUGUCUGUCCCUCUCCCGUCCUCCCUACUCUAUCUGAGCCUGAGAAGGUGUGUGAAGAGAGCCCCUCAGCUAGCAUGAGGUGGGUCACCCAGACAGUGAGACACUCGGAAGAGCAACCUGGGGCAGCAGUGAAUUUGUGACCUUGGCUCUGGUCACCGUUGCAGCUUUCUCUCCUUCCCUGUGCCUGGGGAGGGACACGAAUGUCCUGAGCGCCAUCAGUGCUUGUGUUUGCUCCAAACUCAGCAGUCUCCUUGGUUCCGUGGAGAGUGGAAAGGAGCUGCUGAUUGCAUUCCUCUCAUUAACAAUUAGAUGUGGAAUAAAAAGCAUUGCGCUUCAUCUUAAAUCACUGGCGAGGCUAGGCCUGCAGAAAGGCCUGGGUCAGCCAGCACCAGGCACCGCC
This 1353-nucleotide long non-coding RNA is filed under the name Rattus norvegicus (Norway rat). RNAcentral's name for it is "long non-coding RNA NONRATT001776". Lineage: Eukaryota; Metazoa; Chordata; Mammalia; Rodentia; Muridae. The record is from RNAcentral.